UACGAAGGGAGCUAGCGCUGUUCGGAAUCACUGGGCGUAAAGCGCACGUAGGCGGACUUGUCAGUCAGGGGUGAAAUCCCGGGGCUCAACCUCGGAACUGCCUCUGAUACAGCAAGUCUUGAGUCCGGAAGAGGUGGGUGGAAUUCCUAGUGUAGAGGUGAAAUUCGUAGAUAUUAGGAAGAACACCGGUGGCGAAGGCGGCCCACUGGUCCGGUACUGACGCUGAGGUGCGAAAGCGUGGGGAGCAAACAGG
RNAcentral lists this ribosomal RNA (253 nucleotides) under uncultured bacterium. RNAcentral's name for it is "partial 16S ribosomal RNA". It matches the Rfam family "Bacterial small subunit ribosomal RNA", at positions 524 to 776 of the family's 1533-position model. The record is from RNAcentral.